RNAcentral lists this ribosomal RNA (414 nucleotides) under uncultured microorganism. RNAcentral describes it as "bacterial SSU rRNA". It matches the Rfam family "Archaeal small subunit ribosomal RNA", at positions 459 to 872 of the family's 1478-position model. The record is from RNAcentral.
CAGCCGCCGCGGUAAUACCGGCGGCCCGAGUGGCGGUCACUAUUAUUGGGCUUAAAGCGUCCGUAGCCGGGUUGGGAAGUCCUCCGGGAAAUCUGGCCGCUUAACGGUCAGAAUGCCGGAGGAUACUCCCAGACUAGGGAGCGGGAGAGGCCGAGGGGAUUCCCGGAGUAGGGGGGAAAUCCUAUAAUCCCGGGAGGACCACCUGUGGCGAAGGCGCUCGGCUGGAACGCGUCCGACGGUGAGGGACGAAGGCCAGGGGAGCAAACCGGAUUAGAUACCCGGGUAGUCCUGGCUGUAAACGAUGCGGACUUUGUGUCGGACAAGCUAUGAGCUUGUCCGGUGCCGGAGGGAAACCGUUAAGUCCGCCGCCUGGGGAGUACGGCCGCAAGGCUGAAACUUAAAGGAAUUGGCGGG